Molecule: ribosomal RNA, 512 nt
Filed under: Escherichia coli
Lineage: Bacteria; Pseudomonadati; Pseudomonadota; Gammaproteobacteria; Enterobacterales; Enterobacteriaceae
Description: partial 23S ribosomal RNA
Rfam family: Bacterial large subunit ribosomal RNA
Source: RNAcentral
CUGGAGGUAUCAGAAGUGCGAAUGCUGACAUAAGUAACGAUAAAGCGGGUGAAAAGCCCGCUCGCCGGAAGACCAAGGGUUCCUGUCCAACGUUAAUCGGGGCAGGGUGAGUCGACCCCUAAGGCGAGGCCGAAAGGCGUAGUCGAUGGGAAACAGGUUAAUAUUCCUGUACUUGGUGUUACUGCGAAGGGGGGACGGAGAAGGCUAUGUUGGCCGGGCGACGGUUGUCCCGGUUUAAGCGUGUAGGCUGGUUUUCCAGGCAAAUCCGGAAAAUCAAGGCUGAGGCGUGAUGACGAGGCACUACGGUGCUGAAGCAACAAAUGCCCUGCUUCCAGGAAAAGCCUCUAAGCAUCAGGUAACAUCAAAUCGUACCCCAAACCGACACAGGUGGUCAGGUAGAGAAUACCAAGGCGCUUGAGAGAACUCGGGUGAAGGAACUAGGCAAAAUGGUGCCGUAACUUCGGGAGAAGGCACGCUGAUAUGUAGGUGAAGUCCCUCGCGGAUGGAGCUGA